GUCCUUAGCAACCAGCCUUGGUUCCCAGCGGCCCAGAGCGCGGCGAAAUUGUCUUUUAAAGUAUACAUUUUCAAUCUCAUUUUUAUUGGAGCUUUAAAAAAAUACAUGAAGAAUUAAUAGUAAAACUAAAAAAAGAAAUCUGGGUCUGUGCCAGGUUGCAGAUGAACUACCAAGCACCCAGGCAGACUGCUGGAGCCAUUUCAUGAGCUGAAACAUUUCUCUUUAAAGUAUAAACAUUCUUGGUUUGUGUAAUCCACAUACAAACUUGAUUGAAGAACUCAUCUGAAAGACUUUUAUAAAUGACAGUGCAUCAACAGUUGAGCAUGUAUUAACAUGGAGUGGUAUAUUAAUAGGAAGAAGCAUAAUAUAGCACAAAGCAGUCAGUCAAGCUUCUAGUCCAGAAAGUGUAUGAUUUUAUCUGAAGUAAUUUGGAAUAAAUUUACUUGAAAGCAAGCUAUUCUAUAUGAGAAGUUGGGCCAAAUGUUGAUUUGGACAAAAAUGAAUGUAGUAAAGUGGGAAAAAAUCUUGAAGGCUGGCAUCAAAAUAACUCUUAAACAAUGAACUAUUACAGAGAUUUCCACUUGAGUCAUGACUCAUUCCA
This 601-nucleotide small RNA is filed under the name Pongo abelii (Sumatran orangutan). RNAcentral's name for it is "processed transcript". Lineage: Eukaryota; Metazoa; Chordata; Mammalia; Primates; Hominidae. The record is from RNAcentral.